UCAGAGAGGCGAUAGUUGAGUUUGCAUGAAGGUGACUCAGCUCAUCAUCUCUCUAGGG
RNAcentral lists this microRNA precursor (58 nucleotides) under Monodelphis domestica (gray short-tailed opossum). RNAcentral's name for it is "microRNA mdo-mir-7326 precursor". Lineage: Eukaryota; Metazoa; Chordata; Mammalia; Didelphimorphia; Didelphidae. The record is from miRBase by way of RNAcentral.